Scylla paramamosain (green mud crab) is the source of this 1084-nucleotide long non-coding RNA. RefSeq lists it as uncharacterized. The transcript is spliced from 3 exons. Lineage: Eukaryota; Metazoa; Arthropoda; Malacostraca; Decapoda; Portunidae. The record is from RefSeq and is a predicted model, not a curated record.
AGAGGUGAAGUGAAGGACCAUCACUCAACACCACAUCAUCCAGGACCUGUGAGAGUCAACAGGCCACCACUCCACCCACUUUACUGGGUGAUCUGAGCAUUGGUGAAGGUACCCAUUAUCAACCAACACAAAGGAAGGAUAAACAGCUGGCUGAGCCGUGCACUGACUGCCCCAACCAGGACUCAAACUGAUGCCUGUGGAGUUGUAACCAACCACAGAGGCGAGAAAUAUAUGUGAUGUUAUGAAAUGGCCACAAGGGGCAGAGCAGCUUGACUGAGCUAGUGGAUGAAUGAACUUAGGGCUCUUUCCUUCCCUGCUCUUACAAGACAGGAGGGGAGGUCUUGCUGGGUUGUCAAAAACAAUGACAGAUCAAAGCCAAUCCCGCCAUCCCUCUCCUACAGUCUUGUUCCUUGUUUCUCUUUUAACAAGACUCACAGUCAUGAGUAAAGCGGUCCAUCUCAGCCCAUAGGAGGCGCUGUUCCAUGAAGCUCAUCUCCACUCCUCUUUCAUUAAGUUUGGGCGCCAUGAAGAUCCUCACUGUCACUUCCUUUGGUAAACUGCCACUGUUGGCUGCCUGCAACUGUGUGAGAGGGAGUGAGAUCAAAUGUAUGGAAUGUUCAAUGAGCAGAACUGUAUCAGACAGGUGGAGGAAAUCUAAGAUUAUAUUUGAGGAGGUGUAAGAUAAUUCCCAAAUUCUGGUUCUUCAGUUUUUGUGGUACUUUUGUCUUCUAUCUACAGAUCAUGGGUAAUACUACUCUACCAAUGUUCAUUAUUUAUCUAUCUGUACCUGACACCAAUGCCUAAGAACUUCUCCAUUUUUUUCCUGUCAUUGCAUGCUCUAAUUCCCUCUCUCUCCUCUCACUCCUUUCUCUCACAUAUUCCCAUUUCACUUCAUAUAGAACUCAUAUAAAGUCUUUGUGAACAAACAUGUUGGACUCCUGCAUUUAAUUCCUUCAAACACUCCACAUUUCACCUUUACUUGACACUGCUUUCACCAUCCAUUCUUUGUGUAAUACAAAUGUUCAAAUAGUUAAUUUGAAGUGCUUAUCUUUCAUUACAAAACUUAAAUUUCUUAUAAAUGCAA